Molecule: transfer RNA, 92 nt
Filed under: Blumeria hordei DH14
Lineage: Eukaryota; Fungi; Ascomycota; Leotiomycetes; Helotiales; Erysiphaceae
Description: tRNA-Ser for anticodon GCU
Rfam family: tRNA
About the family: Transfer RNA (tRNA) molecules are approximately 80 nucleotides in length.
Source: RNAcentral
GGCACUUUGGCGGAGUGGUUAACGCGAUGCCCUGCUACCAUCGGUUUCAGGCAUUUCCCUCGGGAGCGUGUGUUCGAGUCACACAGGUGUCG